ACUCAAAGGAAUUGACGGGGGCCCGCACAAGCGGAGGAACAUGUGGUUUAAUUCGAUGAUACGCGAGGAACCUUACCUGGGCUUAAAUGUAUAGUGCAUAAUGUGGAAACACAUUUUUCCUUCGGGACUCUUUACAAGGUGCUGCAUGGUUGUCGUCAGCUCGUGCCGUGAGGUGUCGGGUUAAGUCCCAUAACGAGCGCAACCCUCAUCGUUAGUUGCCAACACGUGAAGGUGGGGACUCUAGCGAGACUGCCGGUGUAAACCGUGAGGAAGGUGGGGAUGACGUCAAAUCAGCACGGCCCUUAUGUCCAGGGCUACACACGUGUUACAAUGGCCAAUACAAAGGGCAGCCACCUGGUGACAGGGCGCUAAUCCUCAAAGUUGGUCUUAGUUCGGAUCGGAGUCUGCAACUCGACUCCGUGAAGCUGGAUUCGCUAGUAAUCGUAGAUCAGCCAUGCUACGGUGAAUACGUUCCCGGGCCUUGUACACACCGCCCGU
Molecule: ribosomal RNA, 498 nt
Filed under: uncultured bacterium
Lineage: Bacteria
Description: bacterial SSU rRNA
Rfam family: Bacterial small subunit ribosomal RNA
Source: RNAcentral